CCUACGGGAGGCAGCAGUGGGGAAUAUUGGACAAUGGGCGAAAGCCUGAUCCAGCCAUGCCGCGUGUGUGAAGAAGGCCUUCGGGUUGUAAAGCACUUUCAGUGGGGAAGAAAGCCUUGGGGCUAAUACCCUCGAGGAAGGACAUCACCCACAGAAGAAGCACCGGCUAACUCCGUGCCAGCAGCCGCGGUAAUACGGAGGGUGCGAGCGUUAAUCGGAAUUACUGGGCGUAAAGCGCGCGUAGGCGGUCUGAUAAGCCGGUUGUGCAAGCCCCGGGCUCAACCUGGGAACGGCAUCCGGAACUGUCAGGCUAGAGUGCAGGAGAGGAAGGUAGAAUUCCCGGUGUAGCGGUGAAAUGCGUAGAGAUCGGGAGGAAUACCAGUGGCGAAGGCGGCCUUCUGGACUGACACUGACGCUGAGGUGCGAAAGCGUGGGUAGCAAACAGGAUUAGAUACCCGAGUAGUC
Molecule: ribosomal RNA, 465 nt
Filed under: Vreelandella stevensii
Lineage: Bacteria; Pseudomonadati; Pseudomonadota; Gammaproteobacteria; Oceanospirillales; Halomonadaceae
Description: partial 16S ribosomal RNA
Rfam family: Bacterial small subunit ribosomal RNA
Source: RNAcentral